Molecule: ribosomal RNA, 253 nt
Filed under: uncultured bacterium
Lineage: Bacteria
Description: partial 16S ribosomal RNA
Rfam family: Bacterial small subunit ribosomal RNA
Source: RNAcentral
UACGGAGGGGGCUAGCGUUGUUCGGAAUUACUGGGCGUAAAGCGCACGUAGGCGGAUCAGUCAGUCAGGGGUGAAAUCCGGGGGCUCAACCCCGGAACUGCCUUUGAUACUGCUGAUCUGGAGGAUGAGAGAGGCGAGUGGAAUUCCGAGUGGAGAGGUGAAAUUCGUAGAUAUUCGGAGGAACACCAGUGGCGAAGGCGGCUCGCUGGCUCAUUUCUGACGCGGAGGUGCGAAAGCGUGGGGAGCAAACAGG